CUAUCUUGACUCACUACAGCCUUAAUCUCCUGAGCUCAAGCAAUCCUCUCACCUCAGGCUCCUGAGUAGCUGGGACUACAAAUGGGUUCUCUACCUGGCCUGUGCCUUGUUGCCUGUUCCUUUACUGUACAUGUGAUGACAAGAAAAGAAGAUGGACCCUCCAUGUUGAACAUGCCUGGCCCUCAGAUGAGUAAACAGGAAGACUGAACUGUUUCUCAACUCCCAA
RNAcentral lists this long non-coding RNA (226 nucleotides) under Homo sapiens (human). Its description in RNAcentral is "HSALNT0366620". Lineage: Eukaryota; Metazoa; Chordata; Mammalia; Primates; Hominidae. The record is from RNAcentral.